Molecule: ribosomal RNA, 348 nt
Filed under: Triticum aestivum (bread wheat)
Lineage: Eukaryota; Viridiplantae; Streptophyta; Magnoliopsida; Poales; Poaceae
Description: partial small subunit ribosomal RNA
Source: RNAcentral
AUGGACUUGAUGCAGGGAGGGUCGUCGAAGAUAAGGACGGCGGCCCGGCCUACACAUGAUGGAACACACAUUGCCGACGAUGCGGUACCAGGGCUAGAGAAGAGAUCCCAAGAAUGCCCGCCGCAGUACUGCAUUGCCACUAUCUUCAAAGACGCGUCGCUGGAUGUUGUUAGGGAUUUCUUCUGGGAUGAUGACUUCCGGGUCAAGAACACUUGGGACAAUAUCUGCAGCACGAGAUUGAACGACGGGUGCACAAAGACUGGAACAAUGGUUGUUUGCUGGGUCAGGAAGGGAGUAUGUUAUCGGUCGCAGGGUCUGGGCAUCGGGAAAGACGUACUACUGCGCUAA